GUUUGAUAGAUUAGUUAACGCUAGACUGUUAAUUAAUCUUGUGUCUUCCCGCUGUUUGGUAUUGCAGGCUAAUUACCAACACGGCCCGAGGGAGCCCGCUGGCCUGUUGUAAUUCUCUAGUUUUCGCUUGGUUACGAAACCACUGUGGAGGGCCAGUUACCGUUUCUGAUGUGCUAGACUAAUUUUCCAAUUUCAAAAUUGCCCCCACAAAUGUGAAUUUACAUCCUAUAUUCAAGAAAAACUCCAUCAGCACCUUCAUCCCCACCUCUCUCGAACUGGUAAAGGUUAUCAUCUCCGAGCUACAGAAAAUAUGUGCGAUGGCAUAAAUUGAAAUCUGUUUCACAUAUCUAUUUCUACCUCGCUUCUGCCAUGAAAAUGAGCGCUGGAAAAUCAGGCACGAUGCGGCAACAGGAAUCCGUCGACUGUAGAAGACUACGGCGUACAGAAACCAUGAAUUUUUUGGUGGGAUUUCGACUCUGCGAAAAAAGGUUUCGCUCCAAAUAGCUGCUUUUAUUCCUUUGCUUUUUAUUUUUUGUUUUGCGAUUUCUUAUGAUAUUUGAAAGGAUAUGGGUGUCUUUAUUAAAUUUAUUUGAUGGCAUAAAUGUCAUUCCGUUUGUUAGUCUAA
Long non-coding RNA from Salvia miltiorrhiza (redroot sage), 625 nucleotides. RefSeq lists it as uncharacterized. NCBI's taxonomy places the organism in Eukaryota, Viridiplantae, Streptophyta, Magnoliopsida, Lamiales, Lamiaceae. The transcript has 2 exons. The record is from RefSeq and is a predicted model, not a curated record.